Molecule: ribosomal RNA, 241 nt
Filed under: uncultured bacterium
Lineage: Bacteria
Description: partial 16S ribosomal RNA
Rfam family: Bacterial small subunit ribosomal RNA
Source: RNAcentral
UGAGGAACAUGACCUUCGGCGGGGGAUAGCCGGCCCAACGGCCGGGUAAUACCGCGUACGACCACUUUGGGACAUCCCUCGGUGGUGAAAGCAGCAAUGCGCCGAUGGAGUGCCUCGCGGCCUAUCAGCUAGUUGGUGAGGUAACGGCUCACCAAGGCGACGACGGGUAGCUGGUCUGAGAGGAUGGCCCAAACCACAGUUGGGACUGAGACACGGCCCAGACUCCGUACGGGAGGNAGCG